UAAUUUAAAGGAUGCUCUAAUCGUCUCCAACAUUUAAACAAGCUUCUUUUCAUACAUAUAUUGGGCCAUUUUCAGUACUAAAUGGCUCCAUUAAAUGGUUUUCCAGGUCUUAUGCUGGCCAGAGAGCUAUUAAAGUCAAUGGGGGUUUUGCCUCUGUAAGAAACGGAGCAUCAGUUCUUCUGCCAGGCGAAAUUCAUCAUUCAGCAAAAGUUAAACUCUUGCUCAGAGUAUCCAACAAGCUGCUGUAAACAAGGACAUAAAGGUUCUCAAAUGCUGCUGAGCUGGUUUUGCAGAGGUAAUGUCUUUCACAGCAGUAAAAUCGGUUCCGUGGGUAAGCGAGCAGGGGACAGAGCGGGGCUGCCCAAAAACCAGAGCAAGUCCCCUGUUUGAGGAGAGGGCACGAAUUGUGCCAGAAGCAAACCUGGAUUAUGUCUUCAGAGCCUCCCUGAGCCUGCCGUGCGUCCAGCUCCUCUCCAGACACCAGCAGGUUGCCUUGGCAGAAAUGCCCCUUACGUCAAGUGUUUUUGCAAACACGCAAAAGAACAAAAACCUUCAAAAAUACCUUUGAAAAGCCUUGGCAAGUCCAAUCCUGGAGGUGAUUUGGUUGCGAUUAGGUGUAAAUCUCCAACUGGAAAAGAGCCUCUCCAGCAGGUUGGUUCUUACUAGAGUAUCUUAGUGCUUCCUAAAGAUCAAGAGUUAAAUGUAAUUUAUUUUUUCCUGCAGAAACGUCAGAAUUUUGUUGGUUUCCCAGAACUGUGAAAAUAAUUUGACAAUUAAACAUUGAAUUGGUGGGGAAAAGGAGGACAACCAUUUGCUGUUCUUUAUUAGGAAAAGGUGGGGUUUUUUUUUAUGUUGUCAUUUAUUUGAAAAACAAAGAUAGUAGCUAAACCCAUCUAUUUAAAAGAUUUGUGUUUUCAUGGAUAGCUUUUUCUUUCAAAAACAAACAAAACCCAAACCAACCUAGGGUCAUGUUUCUGAAGAUGUAAGUGAACUUGGAAUGUGUUGCUGUUAGUGAAGUUUCACACACACACACACAAAUCAAUAACUCAAUUAAUAGCUGAGUUGCGAUAGGGCUGGUGUCCUGGAACAGCUGUGCAGGGCGCGAGGCGCCCGGUUCCAGCCAGGACACGUAGGUGUGAAAUGGAGAGAGAAUUCCACUCUCGGUCUGUGACUCCUGGACGGUGAAUCUGGGGGUAACAACCCCCAGGUGGGCAAACGCUGCCCAGCAUUUGAUUGCACUUUCAUCAGGUGGUUGUUUUUUUAUUUACCUCCAACACAGAUGUAAAACUGGAUACAGAAGGUGAUUCCUCCUAUUUGUUGUUCUUAGCUCACUUUCUUUUGUUUGCGGGGGAUUGGGGGCGCUGGGUACCCGGCUCUGUUGCCAGCUGUGCUGCGGUGUCUCCUGCCCAGGAGAAAUGAAGCUGGGAGACACCUGGUUUGGUGGUAGGAGCUCUGCAGGGACGGCCUCGCUCUGCUACCCGUGUUUCAUGGGGUUCCGUGCUGCCGGUGUCCCCCGGGAGCUGGGCUGUGCUGGGACAGCCAUGCCGUGGGCUCUGCUGUGAGCUUUGGGGUCUUGGGGACAGCAAAUGGUCCUGAAAUCCUGUGGGAGAACAUUACAGAGAAGAGGAUAUGGACUUCCACCUGUCCUCCUGAGACACAGGGCCCCAUAACCGGACUGUGAAAUGUCUGUUUAUCUUUGAAUGUGGUGUUGGAGAGAGCAAUCCAUCAGUGAUGAGGACCUUGGCUGAGCACGAACAUGUUGAGCAGAGGUACAAGGCUGCUCUGCCCUCCCAUGCCAUCUCUGCCGAGAUCAUGCUCUCUUGAGUUCUUUGUUCUUUUUUUCUUAAUAGAAUCACAGAAUGUUAGAGAUUAGAAGGGACCUGGAAAGCUCAUCAGGGGUACAGCAGAACAGCAAAAAGAGCCAUCAGCUCUGGUAAGGACUUGUCCAAGUGUCUAUGAGACCGAGGGUGGUGUUUGUUGGAUGCAACAGUUGAGUUUGUGGUGAUGGGACCUGUUGAGCCUUGCUGCACGGGCUGGUCUCAACUGCAAUUGAUCUUGAUUGCACAAAUUCAGCCCCAAGCUGGAGGCUCUGCCAGUGGUGGUGACCCACGUCCAGCUCUGCAGCGAUCCCAGGCUGGAACCGCUGCCCUUUGUGCACGAGGAGAGGCUGCACACACCCUCCACCAGCAUUUUCCCUGCUCAGCCCCUUGGAACAGGCACAAAAAGUUUCCAAGGGUGUUUCCGUGUUACUGUGUUUUUCCCUGUUUGGGUUACCAGAUGAUCGUCCCGCAGUGUCUCUUGCAGGCACUGCUGAGGACUGUGAGGACACCAAGGGUGACCUUCUCCCCGUCUCCCUCUGCCCCCCGAGCCAUGGGCUGGCUGCUGCCCCUGUACGCGUGGUCGCCCUGCAAAGGGCUCCUCGGGGCAGAUGUUACCAUCAGCUUACUUGUCAUGUUUAUACACAAAGAGCAGCUUGCGGUCCUGCUGGCCUUUUAAUGGAAAGGAAAUACUGUGCUCCAUUGCUAAUUCCUCUCUUUUCCUGCUGCUUGGCCAUGGUGGGAUGGGGGAGGCUCUUAGCCCCGUCCUGCAGGCAGCUGCUCCCCGACCAUUGCCAGGGGUCGUUCCCGUUUGCAUCCCUGUCCUGCUCCUGCUGCGACAGCAGAGUGACGUCCCAGGGAAGGCGCUGGGGUGGCAGUGAGCAGCAUGGCUAUUGCUGCUGAAAUACCUGCUUUGGGCCUCUUUUCUUUCUGCCAACAACCAUUUUGUGCUCUCCUGCUCCUUCUGACCUGGCCCGGGGCUGGGCUGGCCCAGUGCACGUGGGCAAAACAUCAUUGCCGCUCGACUUUUGAAGUGUGAGGCUCGCUGCAGGCAACUGGUUGUGAUAUUGGGUCCCUGGGUCACCUUUGGUGAAUGUCACCUCUGCAGCAUCCCUCUGAGCAGGAAGAUAUCUCCUGCCUAAUGUAGUGUUUGGGGCUGGGGUCCCACAGCAGGGCUGUGCUCUGCCCCGGGGAACCCCAGCUGACCUCUCCUCCGCGAGCUGCACCCCACGCUCGGCCCUGGGCACGCAGCGCGCUGGGGGCGGGCAGCAGCUUAGCACAGGCAUUUCUCAGCCUGUCGCUAGUGACUCACAGCCAGAGCGCACAGGAAAACUGUAGCCACAUUUCAAAAUACCAGAUGCUGUGUUGUUUCCUUGCCACUAUGGAUUUUUCCAUCGCCCCAGCAGCAGGCCUGGAUGCUCUCUGUGCUGCGCUUUGGCUGUCCUGCUGGUCCAGGUCCUGUUUCUGUGCAAAGACCUUCAGGUCAAUGAGUCCCUGUUCCUCCUCGUUUGGAAGCACGUCCUGGCAAGAGGUGAUUCACUGAAGUUGCACCAAGAUGUUCAGUGACAACAAAGUUCCUAAAUCCAGCCAGAGCCCGCAGGCUGGAUGGGAAAGUCACAAGUGUGUUCUUGCGGGGAUCUGGUGGGGGAGGCCGGGAGCAGAGCCCCCCUGGAGCCCCCAGCACCCACAGCCCCUGCCCAGGGUGGCCCUGCAGGAGCAGCAGGUCCUGGCUUGGCAGAGGCAGCAGCCAGGGCAGGUGUGAGCAUAUACUACAUAGGGACAUUUACAAUAUUAUGUAUAGCUUUUAAUUAAAUAUAAUGAUUAGAGAAAAUUUUGGGAGAGUGGGUUAAUUUCAAAGGCAUCAGUAAAGAAUUAUCACCACUGUUUUCCUGGGUUAUUUAUGAUUCGAGAACAUUAUAUGUUAUUUUUCCCUACAAUGCCUUACACAAACAACCUCUGUCACUGCAACAGUUCCUUUUCCCUGAGCCUUUGCAUUUUGCAUCCUCCUGUGACACCCACUCGGGGAACCAUUUUGCUCCCAGUGCCGGCCCAGGACAGCUGUCCCUCCCACUUGCCCCAUAUAGAGGUAAGGUAUAGAAGGCUACAGGAAGAAAUAAGUCAGGAUCAAAAAAAGAAAGCAGGCUGCUUCUCCCCAUAGUCUGUAGAUUUACCAGAAAGUGAGUUUUUCAGGCACAAAGGUUCUUGCUCCACUCCAGGAAAAGCCUAAUUCAGUGCACCAAGAAGAUUUUCACUUGAAACGUUGCUGAUGUUCUCAUGCUACCAUUCAUUAGUAGAGAUGGGCUGGUUUCUUACUAGUUACAUUUGAUUUUUGUUUGGGAACAGUAGGAGAAAAAAUGUGCCCACUGUGAAGAUUUGGUUCACACGGGUCGGUGUAUUAUUUCAGCUGCAGAAGUUGCGUGAUGAAUGCACAGCGGCUUUCCAGGAUGAAAAUCGAUACCCCGUGUGCCACCGGUGUCUGGAACGGGCUCUUUUAGCACGACUCCCCAUGCCGAGCUGCCGGGCGUGUUUUCUUUGUUUCCUGAUGUAGUAAGAGCGGCCACCCAGGGUGCUGGGCAUCCUAGACGAUCCUUUAACAACGUGUCAAACAGAUUCGUCGGUGCCUCUGAAUCAAAUCAAAUGACCCUGCCAUAACAUAAGCCUGGCUUUGUAAAUGUAAGUAAGUGGCAUUUAAAGCUUUACGUGGUGAAGGGCACAGUGUAGUUAACGAACUUUGUGUUCAGCUCCAGCACACAAGUGUGUUUUCUGUGGUUUUCAAUCCGAGACGCUCUGCCCUUCCCUGCUGCUGAUGGUUUUCCUCCCCUCGGGACUGAACUCAGCUAAUUAACCUUUGUGCCACUGCUCAUCAGCGCAUCCUCGGUGGCUGCGGAGCUGCGGGGUGCAGGGAGAUCCGGGCCGGGCUCCUCCGAGCCGUCCGGCUCACGGGCAGAGUGAGGUGGGUGCAUAAUACUUCCCAAAACAUUUUUGUGUGUUUCUAUUUCUUUCUCCUCUUGCUUAUUGUGAGUAAUUACAAUAAAUAAUUAGAUGUUGCUUGAAAUAUUUGGACCUUGUGAUACAAAAUCAGUGCAUUCACUGCAGAGCUUUUUUUUUUUUUUUCCUCUAAAAGGCAAAUUACUCUUCAAUUUCCCUUUUCCUUACAGAUCACUGUAAAUUCGUCCAUUGUGUCAGAAGGGCUUCCUCUCCCCACAUUCCACAGCCCCGUUCAUCAAACGCUCCCGACAUGUGUAGCCAAGUGCAUCAGGUGCAGGAAAUGCUGGAAGUGGCUGCAGGCUCUGGACAGGCUGCCAUCUCCCCAGGUGGAAUGAUUAUGAUAAUAAAUAUAACAAUAUAAUAAAUAAUAUAAGUAAUAAUAUGAGCCAGCAGUGUGCCCAGGUGGCCAAAAAGGCCACCGGCAUCCUGGCUUGUACCAGGAAUAGUGUGGCCAGCAGGACCAGUGAAGAGAUUGUGCCACUGCACUCGACACUGGGGAGGCCCCACCUUGAAUCCUGGGGGCAGUUUUGGGCCCCGCAUGCCAAAAGAGGCCUUGAGGUGCUGGAGCAAGUUGAGAGAAGGGAACGGAGCUGGUGAGGGGCUGGAGCACAAGUGUGAUGGAGCGGCUGAGGGACCUGGGGGUUCAGCUGGAGGACAGGAGCUGAGGGGAGACCUUCUGAUCUCUGAACUGCCUGAAAGGAGCUUGGAGCCAGGGGGGGUCGGGCUCUGCUCCCCAGGAACAAGCGCCAGGAGCAGAGGAAACGGCCUCAAGUUGCGCCAGGGGAGGUUGAGGUUGGAUCUGGGAACAAUUUCUUCCCCAAAGGGCUGUGGGGCAUUGGAACAGGCUGCCCAGGGCAGUGCUGGAGUCACCAGCCCUGGAGGGGUUGAAAAGGCAUGUGGGCAAAGUUUUUAUAGACAUGGUUUAGUGCUAGGGUUAGGUUAGGUUAUGGUUGGACUUGAUGAUCAUGAGGGUCUCUUCCAACCAAAAUGAUUCUAUGACUCUAAAUAAUAAUAAUGUAAUAACAGAAGCAGCACAGAGCAGCAGGUAAAUGCAGUGUGUGGAAAGGGUGCUUUGUGGGGUGGCUCCACAGCUGGCUCCUCUCUCAGUGAUGUUGUUGAUGGUGCCUUUGUCUGGGCCCAUGUGCAGAGGGAGGUGCUGCGGGAUGCCCUGGCACUGGGGGAGCUGCAGUGUUGCUUUGAGGAAACAUCCCCAGAGUGGGACAGAAAAGCCUGUGACUUCCAGAGGAGAUGAGGCACAGAACAAAACAAGGUGAGGAGCUGAUGUAGUGGCUGAGGGACAAGGGAAAAGAAACAAGAGGGGAGAGCAAUGGUUUGUGGUUAUUUAAUUGCAGGGCAGGCAGAAGACACCAGGAACUCUGAGCUGGGCACCUCCUGGCCGUGGGGCAGCCAGCCCCAAAGUUUGUCCUUGCUCAAAGGGCAGCUGUAGCCUGUGCUCACCCAGCAUGGGGACCAGCAUCAGCAAAGCAAAAUGGAGGCCAGUGGAGAAAGCAACCUAAAUAUCACUGUACACUGCCCACAGCUGUUAAACGCCGUGGCUGUGAUCAAGGCUCUGCCGUUCCCGGACACCAGCCUGGUUGGCUCAGAGGGAGCUGAAGGACGUUGGUGCCAGCUCUGGGCUGCAGCGUGGGCUCUGUCCUUCCUCACUGUGCGGAACAGUGGGCAGGCUCUGGAGAGAUGCCCCACGUCUGCCUGAGACAACAGGGGUCUCGAGACAGUUCGAGUUUCAGUGACGAUCCUCUGCAGCUGGUGAGUUCUCCGUCCUGCUCCACUUUGGGCUCUGACACAGGGAGAAGUGCAUUAGUUGAAGUCAUAGCAGGUGGGUGUUUUGGAUAUGGGUAUUUUCCAUAGCUGGUGUGUGGGUCUGUAUUAACAGAUCUCUCUGAGAGGAGCAUAAGGACCAUUUUAGUCUUGCUACUGCUGAGAAGGCAGAGGAUUGGGCUAGAGCUGUGGCUUGUGAGGAAUGACUGGAUAGAUACAAACAGACCCAGGGAAUGAGCAACAAGGCAGCAGCCCCGUUUGGGAGGAAGGGUUAGCCCAGCAGGAGCCCAGCCUCACAGCAGGAUGCCUGCAAACCUCUGCAACACAAACAGUAGGGAGUUCAUUCAUGCAGCAGAAGAUUUUUCUGACCUUAUCUAGCCUUGCAUAUUCACUGCCCCUCUUCAUUUAAACAAUCAUCGUGGGAGCACUCUGCCUGCACCGGAAAAAUCCAUCCUUCCCCGCUGCUGCUCUGCAAGAAGAUGCUCUCUGUUGCACUGCUAUAUGGUGGGUCUCCUGGGUCCCUACCACUAAGGAAAAUAAAUCUGUUUACAAGAAACAAACAGCUUUGCGUAAACUACAGCUAUAAGCUGCCAAAUUUGUGUUCUUCCAGCACAGAAAUGCACAUUUCCCCCGCCAUGAAGUGCUGCGUUAACAGCAGCCACGGUGCAGCUCCAGGGGCGUGUGGUUAUGAGAUCAUGUCACUCGGGAACAGAAAGCACCAGACUAUGCCCUGUGUCUUAUAAAGACAGAUGUCUGACGAUUAUCUCAUGAUAACCAUCGGAGUUCCUGCUGUAAUGAUACUCUUAAUAAUUUAUCCUUCAGAAGCUUUUAGGUUGGGAUCACCCUGCGCCCGGAGCAAACCGCUGUGCUCAGGGUCUGCUCUGGAAACAGUCACCGAGAUCCCAGCGCUGUGUGCAUAGACCAUGAAAAGAUGUAGCUGUGAUGUGUUUCAAAUGAUGUGUGUAACCAGAAAGUCAGAUAAUUUCUAGUUGGGACGAUAGAUAGUAAUGCUCAGACCACUAAUAUCACUAAAUAUGGUUGCAUGAGAUUGAAUAAGAAUACCCUUAUUGUCAACCAUGUUUUCUUUUUUAUUACCAGAUAAUAUGGUAAUACAUUAUUAUAGUUCUUUCUGUAUGGUUCUUCUUCCUAUAUGUUCAUCAUUUAGACUCUAGGAGGGCUGCGGUUGCAGCAGCAGUGGAAGCACAUGAGGAAAUGACUCAUCCCCCAUGGGCUAGACGGGGAUUUUUGACCCAGCAGAGCACAGGAAAACUCGCACAAAGGUGGAGCACUGUGUUAUUCGGGGAACAAAAUGUCACAACGAGUGACUGCUUCGAGUUUAGUCUGCUUUUUAUAAUAGACUUGUAGGCUGUGAAGAAAAUGUACUUAUUGUUGCAUUACAAAAGGUCAAGUGUAGUGAGCACCUUCAGCUGCGAAUGGUCUGAAGGGUGCUGCAGUGACCGUCCCUGUGUGGCAGGAGGCUCUGGAACGAGGGGCUGAGUGGAGUUUCCAGAUCAACAAGAGGCUCCUUUUUCCUUUGUGCUUCUUCAAGCUCCUCCCCUGGUCCCACCAAAUGUCCUGGACAAGGGACAAGCACCAUUGGAUGUGGCUUCCAGUUGUGUAGAAAUGUGCUUAGGGACAUGGUUUAGAGGUGGACUUGGCAGUAUUGGGUUAAAGGUUGGACUCCACGAUCUUAAAGGUUUUUUCCAACCAGAACAGUUCUAUGAUUUGUUCUUCCAGCUCCAGCACUGAGCUCGCAGGGCCCAGGCGGGAGGGAUUGCUGUCAGCGCUGGGGUUUGCACUACGGUGGUCGUGGCCAACUCAAGUCCUGAUGAUACAAAGGCAUUUCUCUGCGCUUUGCAGUAACUUUCAGGUGCAUCCGAACUAAUCUGAAGCAAAACUUGUUUCAAGGGUUGUUUGAGUCUCUGUAGGCUUCCAAUAAAUCCUCCUUUAAAGGAGAGCAGUAUCUGCAGAGGAGCCUGGGGUGUCCCUGUACCCUCAGAGUUUUAGACUGAGCUUGGAGAACACGCAUCCUUCACCCGCGGGACCUUGGUGUCACACAGACCAGUUGUGUUUCCCGCUUUAUUUGCAGAGCUGUGAGGUGGGAAGGAGGGGACCGGGAAGGGCAGCUGCGUCUCCACCCCACCUCCAGCCUUCCCCACUGCCCGCAGGAGCUCUGUGGCUUCUCCCCAUGAAAACUCCCCACAGCAAACCCUCUGCUUCUGCACAGGGUUCAGGAGUAAUGCAAAAUCUCUUCCCAGAAAUCAGGCUGUGUGUGUGUGUUUGCGUGCAUGCUUGUGCCAAGUUUUGGCCCGAAGAGAGUUUUUACACCUGACUUACAACCUGCUGAAGUAAUUUUACUAUGGAAGCAGUGACAUAACUUUAAAGUAAUGCAAAUAACAGCUAUAAUGCUGGUGGUUUAUAAAGCUUUUAUGAGGUGUCUAUAGAGGAGGCGACAUCCCCAGCAUGGCAGAGCUGGCGGUUCCUGGCUGGGACCCUCCGGCCGGGCCGGGGUGGCUGCAGGGUGCUGGUGGCAGCUGCUGUGACAGAGGGUUUGUCACACAGCAAACCUGGGACCUGCAAAGUGGAUGACAGCACGUGCUGGCAUAGGUGACAGCAAUCACUGCCAUCUGUGCUGCACAGACCGGCUGGAGCAUCCCAUAGAGAGCAUGGGAGACCUGAAAAUGGGCAGGUUUUCCUUCUCCUUAGCCCUGGAGAACAGGAGCUGAGGGGAGACCUUCUGAUCUCUGAACUGCCUGAAAGGAGCUUGGAGCCAGGGGGGUCAGGCUCUGCUCCCCAGGAACAAGCGCCAGGAGCAGAGGAAACGGCCUCAAGUUGCGCCAGGGGAGGUUGAGGUUGGAUGUGGGAACAAUUUCUUCCCCAAAGGGCUGUGGGGCAUUGGAACAGGCUGCCCAGGGCAGUGCUGGAGUCACCAGCCCUGGAGGGUUGGACAGACGGACAUGAGGUUCUCAGGGACAUAGGUUAGUAUCAGGGUGGUGUAACGGUUGGACUCGAUGACCCUGAGAAUCUUUUCCAACCAAAAUGAUUCUGUGGUUCCUCUGAACAGUCAGGGAACUCUGGAGCAUCUCUGGGAACCAGAUUUUAAUUAAAAGGUAAAACUGUGUCUGCUACACUCUUGCAUUGUUGCUAUUAAGAGGAUAAAAUCUCCCAUUAUCAUGUAAUUUCUGAAUGUGCAGAGUCAUAGCUAGAGAUGGGUUGGUGACAAGAAAGAGGGUUUUUGGCUAAUUGGCUGCUAAUUCAUGUAUAGGUGGUGUUCAGCAACCCCUUUGCAUGGCAGAAUCUGUAAAGAUGAGAGCCUAUUUUAAAGCUGAAAAAAUGCCUUUGUGUUACAAUUCAGAAGUUGUCCUAGAAUAGAACCAAUAUGCCUUUUUAGAAACAUUUUGUUUCUAUUGCACAUAUCACUGCUGUGUGAGAAGGCUGACUGUAUAUCGAUAUUUUUUCAGUUACUUAACGUUCAGAAAUGACUGAUUCAGAAGCCCUGACCCAAAUGCCAAUAUGAGCAAAACAGCAGCUUCAAUUAUAUCAGCUCAUUUCUGCAGGGUAUCUCUGUGCUGCACAGAUUGUUCAUCCACAAAACCAGACGUGAACAGGUACUAUGUCCAGUGGAGUGACACAUCUGGAACAAGCAUCUAAUUUAUCUAAAAAUGUGACCAAAGAAAUUAAAAACUUGGGUGUUUGGGGCACUGAAAUGAUAUUCCUGGAGGGACUGGUGGCUCUGAGUUAACUGGAUGUCGUGGAAGGGGGAGAGUAAAUGGUCACUUGUAGAGAGUUCACAUGUGUAGUCUAGAGGGUGAGAAGAAGAAACGGAGCCCAGAUUGGAAACAUGGACAAAACACGUGUUUUUUAAAACCCCCGUGGGUCUCAAUGCCCUGUUACUUCCCCGAUGUUCUCAGGAGCUGGUGAAAACCAGACCCGUAACACAGCUGGGUGAGAAAUGGCCAUUACCAGCAGUAUUUUGGCCUUGGGUAUAACAGUUUCAGUUCUUUCAUGUUCUAAUAUUAAAGACAAGGAGCACCUGUAAACUUAAUUUAAAAGUUACAUAAUAGUUAGCCGAGAUGGGACUACUGUACAAAUCCAAUUUAUUAUUUUGUAAUUGCUGUUGUUAAUUAGAAUGGUAAGGUAUGAAAUUCCCUGGGUAGAUUAAUCAAUAAUUUAUUGCUUUUUUUUUAACUCGCAAAGCUUCUUUUCUUUAAACACCACCACACACUGUGGUGUUAGGCCCAUUAAAAAAAUAACAUUUUCUAUUUCUUUAACCCCUUUCAUUACACACAUAGCAGAGGCUCAUUGUCUUAACUCUGAACCAACGCACACUAAACCAGUGAUGAAGAUGGGACUGGGGAACCGAUGACAGCUGGGCACACAAAACAAGGCGUUGAGCAAUAUCAUGAAAUGAUAAAGCACGGUGUGGGAAAGCUUGGUGUUCCUUUGGACUUGGAGCAAAACUUCUAACCAAAUGGUGCUUUCUUAUUUCCAGAAUCUUUUCCUGCUGACUUAAAUACCGGCUGGAGGAUGGGCUGGUUUGUGAUCUGGUUUAUCUUCAGCUCUCAAGUAGCGUGUCACUGAAUGACCUUGUGCAGCGAGUCUUCAGUAUCUUUCCAGUCUUUAGUUUCUCUCAAAUAUUAACCUGACAGUUGCUUAAUUAUCAAGUCUUCUGCUUUUAGAUAAUUUAGGAGGAAAAAUUGUGCAGUUCAGACUCAAACUAUCCCUUUUCAGCUUCAAGGUGCAAAUACAAAUUUUUUCCCUAUUCCUUCUCUUGGCCGGUGGUGGCACCAAUGACUCUUGUAGAAAUGUCCCCUCGUCAUGCCAGCAGUGACGUGUCUGCCCAUGGCCAGGCCACGGCCCUUUCCCAGUCCCACCAGCAGCAGCUGCUGGACUGGUUUCCAGGGCUGUCACCUGUGUGGGGCCCAAGCUCUGUGCACAAAAGGAGCUCGUGAUGAUUUGCAUGGAUCCUGUUUAAGCAGCCAUUUAUUGCAGCCAGCUGUUGUAGCAAGGCAUUCACGGGUCACUGUGUGAGCAGGUACUUGGUUAUUCUCUCCUUAUUUUUACUUGUGAACAGAUUACAAGACUGUAGUGGUUUCGAUGCAUCACACCAUGUGGCUGUUCAGAGCCUGGGCCCCAUCUAUUUGGUGGGCUUGUGGGAUGAGAUGGUGAGUGUGCAGCUUUGCUGGCUUUGAUCCUUUCUCUAGUGGCUAUAAACACCAAACUUUUCUUAUUUUCUGUAUUUUCAUUCUAUAUUUUUAUAAUUAAUUAUAUCUUUCACCACUCCAAGUCUUGUCUGUCAGUCCUGGUGGAAGCCCCAGCUCUCUCUGGGGUGGUUGGGACGUGCACGGUUUCUGUGGGUGCCUCCAUACCCGUAGGUCUAAAGUCUAUGGUGCUCGUGUGGGAAGUUAAACUUCUCCGUAGAGUUUGCACGAUCAGGAACGAGCACCCCAAGCUCCUUAUGGCAGAAGCUGUGUCCAUGUGGCACCUACAGCCAUUUGAAGGGAGACGGUCAAGUCCGACGAUACAGUGUUAAAACAUCUGCCUUUUCACAACCAAUCUUCCACGGCUCGGCUGAAUGACCUGUAGCUAAAUAAUCACAUCUGAAUUUGUGUUUCAGAGGGAAGUUCAUUUGGCUGUGCAGUCUAAAUGCACCAACGCUGCCUUGCCUCGCCUGAAGCGCUGUCACCGAAUGUCCGUGGUCACGUUGUGACUAUCGAGAAGUCAUCAGAGAAGCUGCUCGAUGUUUUUCUGAGGAGCUGUUUUGAAUUCAUUGCUAAACAAUGAGCAGAGGUCAUUUUUGGUGAGGCUCAAAUGGCCUAUUUUUGUGCUAUGAUGAAUUUUAAUAAUUGCUGUAAGUAUGCUAUUAGUCAAAAUGAAGCAGAAAGAAACCCAAUUAUUGAACUAGACUGCUGUGACUGGAAUCUAUAGCUGAUAUAUUAAAGCCUGACUGUCAUGCUUAAUAAUUAACUCAACUCGCUGGCAAACCUGGAAAAGAAAAUGAACAUUAAUAAUGAGUUAACUAAUCAUUAUUUCUUUUUCCCCACACCAUUAGAACAAUAUCCUGCAGUACAUCAAUUAAACAAUACAAUAAUCACAGAAUCACAGAAUCGACUGGGUUGGAAAAGCCCUCAGAGAUCAUCCAGUCCAACCCUUGGUCCAACUCUAGUCCAUUGACUAGAUGAUGGCACUAAGUGCCAUGUCCAAUCUCAGUUUAAAAACCUCCAGGGCCGGUGAGUCCAGCACCUCCCUGGGCAGCCAUUCCAAUGCCUGACCACUCUCUCUGCAAAGAAUUGCUUUCUCAUCUCCAGCCUAAAUUUUAAUUUUACGUCCUAUAUAUUCUCUGCUUUUGCCUGUACUUGUCUACCUUCUGCUUUCCCAAUACAGCUUUGAUGUAAUUGCUGCUUUUCACAAAGUCUCCAUGUGCUGCCCUGGUCUGUGUAAGUAUUGAAGGAGCCGUUACAGGAUGCAGAUAUUAUUUACAUUUUCUUUGUUUUCACCUGAUCCAAAGAGGAAUGAUCCGCCUCCAGACAGACACUGAGCGCACUCUCUGCACAUUCAGAGUCUUCGAAUUCCCUCAACUGCUUUCGUGAGAGGAUGGGGGCAGCAGAAACACCCCGAUGAAGAGAAGAGGGUGUUAUGAUGUGUGAGCAUCUCUCUGGCGCAGCUCCCGGUGACGACUGUCUCUCCAUCAGCUCUGCAGCCAGCGCUGAUGGGACAAUCCCAGUGACCCUGCUCGAGGGCCCUGUGCGUCUCGUGGCUGGAAGAGGAGCAGCUUUGCAUCCAGCCCCGGUGAAACCCGAACUCAGCACAGCUCACCCACCUCCCAAAGCCAAAUCUCGGCUUUUCCGUGCUGCAGAACAAGCUGACUCCACAGGUUUUCCUGUCUCCAUGCGGGCAGCAGCCAGCUGGCUGCUCGAGCAGGCACCUCCCCACACGGAUGCUGUCUGGAGAGCCCCACCAUUGGCACAAUGGCUCCAUGACCAUGAUUUUCCCAAAUUAUUUCAAAUUAUUGCUUUUUUUUUAGCGAUAAAUGUUCUUGCAGGGAGGAUGGAGGGGCUUUGCUUUAACAUUGUCCUCAGUCUCCCAUUGGAGCUACCUCAGGAGUCAUUUUUAUUUGGAUCUUAUCUCCCACAUCUCAGCGAGCUCUGCCAGCCUCGUCUGGAAAAUCACCGUUUGGCUCUGACCUUGCUAAUAUUUGCAAGGGAGUCUGAGAAACAGAUAGAAACAUUGCACUAAUUCAGAGCAUAAUGUGAAGUUAUGCAAAGCUGCAGAUCCCCCUGGUGUGUGCCCAGGGAGAGGAGAGCUGGGGGACACAGAGGGCUCAGUGCCCACCAGAGACCACAGGAUGAGCUGGAUCCUUGGGUACAGUGACCUCUUCUGAUUAUGGUUUUUAUUUGAGGAGGAGGCUGAACUCUGCAAACAGAAACCUGGACUUCGAUAAGAGCUUAUCAAAUGUAGGGUAGUGCCCACAGCUGGUUACUUGUGGCUGGAUGGAUUGAUUUAUCUUGCCCUUGCUGUUUGUGAUUACAGGGCUGAAUUUACAGAUACAUCUGUGUUUGAGGGAUGGCUGAACUUCAAAGCCACGUUUGUUUUUUUGCAUCCUGUGGCAGCUGGUGUGUGCUGGGGCAAGAGCCUUCGCUGGGCACUCUUUGCCUUUGCAGUGUCCCUGUCCCCUGAUCCCCAACCCAAACCCAUGGGGGACAUGGGUGCCCUCAGCUUGGGGGGCAGAGGCAGGAGAGGUGGAGCCAAUUCUUCUACUCAAAAAAACAAAUCAUGGUGCAACUAUAGAAUAUUGCAUUAAAAAGGGGGUGGGGGAUAAGCAAAAAACCUCAUCAGAACUCUCAAGUUGGAAAAAUUCAGUUAUAAUCCAUGCAAGAGAACUAUUGGAAAUGGUUGCUACUGCUUUGUUCUAGUCUCUCUAGGUCGACAGAGGUUCUCCUGCCCCUCUACUCUGCCCUGGGGAGACCACACCUGGAAUAUUGUGUCCAGUUGUGCCCCCUCAGUUCCAGCAGGACAGGGAACUGCUGGAGAGAGUCCAGCGCAGCCACCAAGAUGCUGAAGGGAGUGGAGCAUCUCCCGUGUGAGGAAAGGCUGAGGGAGCUGGGGCUCUGGAGCUGGACAAGAGGAGACUGAGGGGGGACUCAUUCCUGGGGAUCAAUAUGGAAAGGGGGAGUGUCAGGAGGAUGGAGCCAGGCUCUUCUGGUGACAACCAGUGAUAGGACAAGGGGCAAUGGGUACAAACUGGAACACAGGAGGUUCCACUGAAAGAGGAGAAGAAACUUGUUCCUGGUGAGGGUGGCAGAGCCUGGCCCAGGCUGCCCAGGGAGGUUGUGGAGUCUCCUUCUGUGCAGACAUUCCAACCCGCCUGGACACCUUCCUGUGUAACCUCAUCUGGGUGUUCCUGCUCCAUGGGGGGAUUGCACUGGAUGAGCUUUCCAGGGCCCUUCCAAUCCCUGACUCUGUGAUUCUCUGCUGAGAAGCCCCAGGCCGCAGCGCCCACUCCCACCAAAGCCACCAGCCCCAGCUCCGUGUCCCCAGGGUUGUGCCUGGUGUGGACAGAAAUGCACAUGAAGGAAUAGUCUGCUUGGGGCUCUGAUGACACAAGUACAAUUCUACAUGUGCAAGAUGAUUUUUUCAGAUCUGGUACUGCAUUCUAAGCUGUGUAUGUAUUUUGUUUUUUGUAUUCCAGAUCUGAAUUUUGCUUUCCAUGGUGUUUUGUGGGACUUGCUGCUGCUGCUGUCCUUGUUCUAACUGAUGAUUUUGAGUGUGGUGCACUUAAGGGCAUAAAGAUGGGACUUGCUAAUGGAGUUUUCUAUAUAGCAGUGCUAUCAUUCUAAACAGUUAGUUAAAAAAAAAAAAACUUAUUUAUGCUGUGCAUUACAAAUAGAAGGAUUUCAAGGGGUUUAGCAUAUCAUGUCCUUUCCUACAUAUAAAAAUGGAAAAUGCUUCAAGAUCACACGUUGCUAGUCUAUGCAAUAGGGUUAUAUAAGAUUUGAUAUAGUUCACACACAUCCUGGCAUUGCAGGGCACGUGGAAAGCCUGUGGAAAACCCGUGUUUGGUGUCAGCGUGUCCCUGUGGUUUGUGCAGAGCCCGGCCGUGCUGGGGGGCUGAGAGCGGCGGGUGCCGCGGGCUGGGCUGUGCCCAUGGCAGGACACGGCUCGGCACGUCCCCCACCCUGCCACGAACCUGCCGCUCACCCUGUUUGUGUUCUGUGCACUUGGCACUUCUCACGCUCGGAGAUGGUGAAGUUAAUUUUGGUGGGUCUCCUACUACACAAGGUCCUGACCAGCCACUUCUGCCUUUUCCAGCAAUCCCUUGGGGGCCAAGGGAUUUACUGGAGGUCGCUGAGGAGCAAAACAAAAUUACCUUUGGACCUAAUUUGGCAGCAGUGUUUAGAGAGACACAGCUGGGGCGGCAGAAGAAAAGAGUUUGGUAUCUUUUCCAGUGCUUGGGUCUCAAUAUUAACAAUUUUGUGGAACGUUAGUUACCUCCUGGCUAUGUAUUUUGGCUGCGGAAAUGAGCAGGUGCCCAGGUCAGGGUGGGAAGCGCCUGCUGCACCGAGCACACGUGUGCAGGUCCGCGGUCCCUCCUCUGCUCCCCCCACUGCUGUCAGGCUUGUGCAGAAUGUUUCCCGCUUUAGGUUUCUAUGAUUUUCACCAUGAUCAGGGGUAUAGGCAGGCACAGUGUUUCCCUGCGCCACAGGAGAAUGGUUAUGUUGGACAUGUCCAAGUGACCCAUGGGGCAUCCCCACAGCAUGUUGGCGGGGCCAGGAGAGCCCCUUGAAUCAGGGCACGUUCUGAGUGGAGCGGUGGCAGGAGCGUCUUGUCCCCCACGGUCACAACCGUGUGUGCAAACUGGGGCUGGGAGCACGUCACUAUACGUGUGUCCGUAGUCCAGUCCCUGGUGCCCGUUUUGCUCCUAUUUAUAUGCAGCAUCUGGUGUGACACCAGCUUCUGGCUGGACUUUGCAAACAGCUUUUAUAAGAUGUCUGGGAGCUGGUCCGUACCCACUAACAGCCUGUGAGCCGCCUGCACCACAGUGCGAGAGGGGUCGGGGCAGUUGUGGGGACACUUCGGGAUGAAAACACAGUAAUUCUGUCUCUCCUCAGGGUGGGUGCCAUGGAUCAUCCUGUGAGGAUCACUCUGAUUGUGGUAAAGGCUGUUGUGCCGCUCUGGCCCCGUUCCAACGCGCUAUGGGGAUGGGGAUGGGGAUCCUCCCACGCCCUGGGUUCCUUCCUGGUCUCGCUGUCCUGCACAAGCCACGGCAAGAUCCCGAGUGUUGCAGAAAGCCCAGUGAAACACCCGGGUUUCCCGGGAUGUUGCGUGUCCGGAGGCGCAGCAGCCCCGCUCUGCAGCCGCCCGCCAGCGGGGCCAUUUAAUCGAUUUUCUGCAGGGCAUUGAGCUCUAGCUCGGAGCUUUGGGUUUUCCAAGGAGAUCUCGCUCCCUGUGAGAUUGCCCCAGAGGUCAGCGUCUUAGCGCAAAAGCAACAGGAAAAUGACUUCCAGCGCUCACCUUCUGUGCCCGCAAUAAAUUAAGCGAUGAAAUACCAGAAAAGCACCUACAAAAGAAGUUGUCCUGCAACUCGAGAAAGAAAGAUUGAAGGAAAUCCCUGGAUCUGUGAAUGGGUGGUAGGGCUGGGGGAGGAGCGGGGGCUGCAUUUGGAUGUGGAAGAGACAUCAAGGUAUCUUUAGCAUGAACAGCAAUAAAUGUGACUUGUCUAUAUAACUUUCUGUAAAACUGAAGUUAACUGUGUUAAUAUUCUGAACAGUUUGGAGCAAGUAAAUGGCUUGCUGCAUUGGAGGAUAUUUACUCACUAAGUUUCUUUGGAUAAAUCCCCCUGGUGCCUACGUUAUCUGACAGUUUUUAUUUUUCUAUAUUCAACAGGAACCAAAGUACAAGUCUCUACUUCAGGAACCAUUGCCAAGGAGAUGAUUAUUCAUUAACUCCGGGUGGUGAUUGCUCAGGCUCUAAGUGAGUUGCCCUGCGCUCCCGCCUGCGCUGCUGCAGCACCUCAGCUUCUUCAGCCACAGUAAGAAGGACCUUUAUUUGAAUGGACAGACCAGCAGAAAGAGCAGCCAACUACCUGGAAAGAGCUGAGAGUGAUCUCUGCCGGUCUGCUUACCCAGCUGAGGACACGCUCACCGUGUGCUUUGUGAGGGGCUCAGGAUAUGCAGUUACUAAUUCAUUUGUGGUUUUUUCCCCCCUCUGUUUUUUAUAAGUUAAAAUAGUAAUGUUUCUCCCAAAUUUACCAAAUCAGAAUCAAAACCUGAACUCCAAUUGUUGGAAGAGGGGAAGUUCUGUUCGGUCAGGUGUUCGCUGGACUCUGUGAUCCAGAAACACUGUGUGAAUGAGGGAGAAACAACCAACCACCCAACCGUCCGUACUGUGAUUACACGAAAUUACUUUGAGAAGUGGAAGGUAUUAAGAAAUAAAACCAGUUAAACAAAACCGAGCCCCAAAAAUAGUACAAAAUAAGUUGUAGCAGUUUCUGCUUGCCUUUUCUCCAAGAAUUACAGCCUGAAAAACCACUGUUGUAGAAUUCAGCUACAGAAACCAAUGGAAAAUAUAGGACACAAUGCAGACACCCCCCCACCCCUACCCCCCUCACCCCCUCGCCCCGCUGCACUUGUGUCCUAUGUACUACUGUGCAUUAAUUUAUUUACCAUGUUUAUAAUCCUCAUUUACUUAGGAAACCCCAUAUAAUGCAUGUACUAAACACAUAAAUACAUACUCGGGCAUAUAGCUCACAUCCUAAUUAUUAAUCCCCAUAAAACUCAAACAUUCCCCCCAUCAUGCAUGUACUAUAAACACACACAUAACCGUUCCAUGGAGAGGAACAAGUACAAGUGUCGUUUAAUUUUUUGAGGCUCCAUUUUUAAAACAAAGCCCUUGGAGUGCAGUGAUGCUGCGUAACCAUCACUCUUUAAGGCCUGGAGAGGCUUUGCAAGCACAGCUUCUGCUGUAUCCAAACCAUUCUGCAUGCUGUGAUGUGGAUCUUGUGGAAGAGAACAGGGAAAAUAGAAACCACUUGCAAGAUAUUGUUGGUCCUGAAGCCUGCUUAGAUAAUGAUGCCAUGAUAUGGACCUUUUGAGCACCGUCCCACCUCCCUCCUCUCCCGCGAGCGAAGGCAUCGCUUGUCUCCUGGACUCGGGAGGCGUGGGGUGGGUGAAUUCCAGACUGUUUCAGCACUGUUGAUCUGUCGCAAUCCUCAGUUAUUUUUGGGUAAUAUCUAAAAGAGGACCCUGUGAACGUGUACAUUUGAUGCUAACUCUCAAACGAGUCUCCAGGCAACAAGGAAAUGGCUGUGCUGCUUUCCACCCUCACUAGAGACAAACCAGAUAUUUAAUGAACGGCUAAAAGGAACAAAUGUUUUCAAUUCAUAAAUACCAGUGAGAAGAAACUAGUUAUGUAAGUUAAAGAGGCAAAUUAGCAUGAAAUUAAGGAAAGAGGGAAUUUACAUUUUUGUAUCAGAAAAAUAUUCACAGACAGAUAUAUUGGGCUGUGCUGAAAACUGAUUAGAAGUCAGCACUUCCACUGCUGGGGGCUGCACAGCUCUACAUUCUGUUUUACAGAAAUUAGAACUUUUUAUGUUUCUGUGUUGGCAGGGAAAUACCAGAGUAGAUGAUAUGCUGGAUUAGUUGUUAUUACGUGCCAACAUUUGAUAGCUAGUAUGGGAUUUUGGAAGAGAAACUAGGGAUAUGCUAUCAGCCCCGUUGUAGUGUUGGAGUAAAUGGGCUCUUGUUAUUUUUUUCAAAGUGAAUAAAAAGUGGGAGGAAAACUAGCUUGCCAAGAGGAAUAGCUAGCAAUUAAUGAAAAAUAGCUUUGCUCUUUGUGGACUUUACAGAUGCAAGGAUGGAACCAGCAUUUUUUUGGUCCUGAUUCAGCAGGUUCGUGCAGGUCACACGAUUCACAGCACAAAGCCUUGGCCUGAGCUGCGAGAGCGACCGCGGGAGAGCGCGGGCCGCCCGAAGCCUUUGGUGUCGGCGUGCACCGGCCAGCUGGCCGCGGCUGUGGCGGGACACCUCUGCUCUGAGCGCGGUGAAGAGCUUCAGAGCGUGCUGUACACACAGCCUCAGCUCGCUCUGCCUCCAGAAACUGUGUGGCUCCAGCACCAGCUGUACGGUAGUGCUUCUUCCAUAGUCCCCGGUUCUCCCAGACACCGUACUCCUCCGUGUACCACAGGAAAAAAUAAGCAAAACCAAGCCCGAAGACCCUCACUCAAGUUGUAUUAAGUCUUUUGCAGCCACAAAACAUUUCCUUCAGCUGCAUGAAGGGAGUGGAGCAUCUCCCUUAUGAAGAAAGGCUGAGGGAGCUGGGUCUCUCUAGUUUGGAGAAGAGGAGACUAAGGGGGGACCUUAUUAAUGUCUAUAAGUAUAUAAAAGGUGAGUGCCAUGAGGAUGGAGCCAGGCUCUUCUUGGUGGCAAACAAUGAUAGGACAAGGGGUAAUGGGAUCAAGCUGGAACACAAGAGGUCCCACUUAAAUUUGAGAAGAAACUUGUUCCUGGUGAGGGUGGCAGAGCCUGGCCCAGGCUGCCCAGGGAGGUUGUGGAGUCUCCUUCUGUGCAGACAUUCCAACCCGCCUGGACACCUUCCUGUGUAACCUCAUCUGGGUGUUCCUGCUCCGGCAGGGGGAUUGCACUGGGUGAUCUUCUGAGGUCCCUUCCGGUCCCAAACAUACUGUGAUACUGUGAUACUGUGACAGAAUAAGGAGACACCCAUGAUUUACACAGCUGUGCUGGUGCCAUGGGCAGCUUCAGCUGCCAGAGGUGACAGCGGUGGCCUUGUCCCCAUGUGUUGCCCAGGACGGGGGCCAGCUGGCAGGGAGGCCACCAUGCAGUCAACCUGCAGCAAGACAAGUGCGGGAAGGUGAGUGUGCCUGGGAUUUGCAGGGAGGCACAGGGCUAAAUACCUGUGCGCCCAAAGUGCAGUUAAAAAGUGCUUGUUUUGGGGUCAGUCACACAGAAUUUCUCAAAGGAGCUGAGCGGCCAGGAAAGACAGGUGCAAACCAAAGCCUGAGAGGCUAUAGGUCUAAUAUGUGCUUCUCAAAAGGAGGAGGAGAGGGGUUGUUCAGAGGAAAUGAGGAAUGAACUUUCUUGGGGACGGGAAGGGAUCCCAGAGCUGAAACGCCGGGGCGAGGAGCACGGCUGGGGUUACAAGGCUGGGCUGAGAUUGCAGGAGGCGGCUCUGGGAAUGAGAUUCUUGAACCACCUGCCACCCUCUUGGUCGUUGUGUCACAAAACCAUCCCCUCUAUUGUGCUCCAAGCAGCAGCCCAGUCAGAGUUGGGUACUUGCAGAGAGUUGGGUACUUGGAAAUGAGAACUACACCUGGUAUAGCCCUGGACUUAAUCGAAGCUGUGAGUAUCCUGGUCAAGUACAACUGUUAAUAAACACCUUAUAUGGAAGAAUGAAGAAUGUAUUUUUUUUUAUUUUAUAUAUAUAUAUUUUUAAUUAUGACUCAUUAAUCUAAAUUGGCCUUUUGACUCUUUGUGACUGGUUAGACCGAAGGCUAGACAAGAAGGCCACUAGUGCCUCUUGGGAAAAGCCAUUGGUAUUUACAGUAAUACAGAAAAUAUUUGCACAGCGAUGGGGGUGAGGGGAGGAUUGUGCCUCCCUGCGCUGGCGCCAUGAGAGCUGCAUCCCUGGCUAAUGAAUAUUUGUGGACGUGGAGAGCAGCUCUGUAGCGUGAUCACCCGUGUCUCCAUGCUGAGUUCCUGCAUAACAAGUCUCCCAAGAAUUGCUCCUCAACUCCAAGGGAAAGGCAAAGGGGGUGAGAGUGUGUGUGGGAUGGAACAACUCCUGCAUCACAUCUUUCCUCUGCAAAGGGCUGUGAAGCCAACAGGGCUUUGGGACCAGCAAAGAUUAUUCUUGUUUGCACAACAGCAGCAUUAACCAUGAAGGAAAAAACCCCAACAUUUAAAAUAUCCAGCUCCACGUUUACACUGUGCUGAAAUGUCUUUCCAUUGCACAAUAGCAUGGCGAGCUGCUCUGGGAUAAAGAUGGAGCAAUUUUUCGUUUCGCUCUCCAGGAGCAGAAUAAACCACAUAUUUUUCACACCACAUGAGGAUUUAUGGGAAAUGUUGACUCGGUUGUGUCUGUCAGGGUUACAACAAUCACUUCAGCAUUUUUUUUGGCAUACCUCUUGAACAUUCACCCAUUUGUCGUCUUUGCCUUGCACCAAGGAAGGGGUAAUUUUGUUUUGCAGUUCAGGGAUCUAUCCAAUUAUCUCAUUGCCUUAUUUAUGAAUAUAAUGAGGUGUGAUUUUUGUGUGUAUAUACUCAAACUGGAGCUACCAGUGUGUCCCUCAUCUUACAGGAGCAAUGCCACCAACUGAUAUUUAAUAUUUUUAUGGUUUUUAUAGUAAUUUUCGUCCUAUACUAGGUACAGAAAACAGAGCAUACUUUCCUGUAUACUUUGUAUGGUGUUAUAAAAAGGAACUCGGUGCUCUGGACAUUAAACUCAGUUUGCAAAACAAUGUUCCUACUGCAACCAGCACUGCCAAGCAAAAUAUUUGCCUGUUUACUGCUCUGGCAGUUGGACUGGGGUAGGUGGUAGCAGAGAUAGAGCAUUUACCUUUGUUAAAUGGUACAGCUUUGAAAGAGGAUGAUGUAUUAAUGUAUUAAAUACCUUACAAUCAGGUGGAGACAGACUUGGAGGGUCAGGAAGAGGGGGCUGAGGUGAUAAAUGGCCAAGAGACUAUAGGAACUUGGGUAGAAAUUUUAAAAACAUAAAUUCAGACCAGGCAGUGACAGAUAAAAUCCCUGGGGACUCUGGGGCAGCUGGAAAGCGAGGUUGGGACCAAAGCAGGGAAAUGAGACAACCAAAUGAAGCCUCUGGUUUUGCUCUGUUAAAGCUUUUGUCUUUUAUCCGGUCAGUUUAAAUAACUGUGGAGAAUCUAAUGGUGCUGCUGAAAAUCUAACAACCCUCUGAAUUUUCGCUACAACCAGUUUUUUAUUUUCAUUGCUGGAGAAAAAAAGGUGUGUUAUAGAUAUUUAGGAUGAUUUAAAGCACUGUGUAGUUUUUGGAGGUGCCAGUUGGAUGCUGGUGCGGCCUCAGUGGGCGCUGGUUGCCCUGGUCCUGUGCUGUGCUCCCUGCAAGGGCUGCGGGACCAGAGCCCUGGUGGUUUGCAUCAGGCAGGAGGCUUGAGCGAGGGUUUUCUACAGAUCUUUAUUGCUAGGCCACGACAAGGAAGGGAUCCAGCUUGCCUUUCAGAUGCCACAUUUGGUUUUGUAGUCUUAGCAAUAAAUUAAAAAAAAUAAAGAAAAAAAAUCGCCCUGUGAACUGUGCACACAUUAUCAUUUCCCAUGGAUUUCCAAAUGGUUCUGAGCCCCGACCAGGCCAGCUCCCUAGUGUGUGUGGGGGAUUGCACUGGAAACAGAGCUCACCAGCAGGAAUUUGGAGCUGGACCGAGGAGGAGGGCCGUGCCAGUGGGGUUUUUGUGACCCGUCCUCUGUCACCGGGGCUCAGCCCCAUGUCACGGCGCUGCCACCACCAGCUCUGCUGCCAUCAGGUAGAUCAGUCCCAAGUACCACAUGGAAAACCUCUCAGAAAAUGGCUAGUACAUUUGAAAAGGCCCAAGUCUAUCCAUUCAUUUGAAACGUGCACACAAGCUCAUACAGAGGCUUUACACAGAAUUUAGCAGCUGUUGGUUGUGAAGGGAAAGAGAAAUGCAGCUAAACGGAAGAGCGAUCAGUUAUUGAUCUUCUGUGUGGUAACUUGUGACAAGUAAUCACUGUUUUUCCUAGUUACUUUCACAAAGCAGGCUCAUCAGGGUCUUAAAGUCAAGUCUCUGCUGUUCUUCUGGUUAAGAAACCUUAGGCUUUAUGGCAGCUGCGUGUAUUGUAACACAACCACGUUAACGUGGUGGUUGGAGGUAUGGCACAGCGACAAACACCAGCGAGCCAGGCAGGCUCAUGAACAGUAUCUUAAAAAAAAUCAACUAGCAGAAGCAGGACAAAACAUGCAAUUCAUUAAGUAACCCCAUAUGAUCUUCUGAGUUCCAAACGCUCUGCAACUCCAAAAAAUGCCGAUUAGGAGGAGGCUUUCAGUUAAAAGCAAUCCUGUGGUUUGCGAAGGCAGGAGCAAA
Molecule: long non-coding RNA, 23667 nt
Organism: Columba livia (rock pigeon)
Lineage: Eukaryota; Metazoa; Chordata; Aves; Columbiformes; Columbidae
Exons: 3
Source: RefSeq, a predicted model, not a curated record